AUGUGUGUCUUCCUCUGUGCUCUGCUCAGGUCUCCUGUGUGGAACAACACUGGUGUGAAUCUGACGUUCCACAUUCCAAGUACAGAUUAUAAAGGUGUGGUCAGUGUGUGUGUCGUUCUGCCAGAUGGCAGUUGCCAUGGCAACUACGGCAUCUCCUACCAGUCAUCACCGACCUGUAUCAGAACUGAACCAAACAGCGCCUGGUUCAGUGGUAAGAGAACUAUCACACUCAUCGGCUCCCACCGAGAGUUUGUGGAAGGGGUCAUUCACAGCCACAACCCACAAGACGUCACACUACCCAGAAGCAGCAAAUCUGGGAAUCUAACCUUUGAAACAAAUGCAGCAAAAAGCACCCAGCAAUCCCUUUUCAGCUCUGUGUCUCUGAAAGUAGCCAAUGAGACCUUGGUUUGUUCCACAAGCUUCAAAUACCACCCAGACCCUGAGUUCAUCACCUUUAAAUCCCUCACAACAAUGGGCUACGUGCUCAUCAUCGUAGAGAAGAAGAAGGAUGAGCUGGAGGUGACGACAGCAGAGUUGUCAGUGUGGGGCGUUCACGGUGGAAAACAGCACCCCUGCGUCAUGACUGGCAAAGAAACCAGUAACAAGAUGGAGUUUUUCCACUGUCACAUUAAGAACAUCCCUGAUGCUACAUUUCAGGAGUUGAUGAUACAUUAUGGAGACAGGACAGUGAGACUAGGGCCUCCAUCUUUAUUACACCAGGUCCUACUGAUACUGCGUGUACUGCUGAUACCGUGUGUGUUCAUAGGUGAGUAUCCUGGACUAAUACAGUGAUUUUGAUCUAGUCACUGUCAUAGCUGUGCAGCUAGUUUAGUCAGUAGUAGACAGUGUAUUUUUGACUUGGUUUGAACCAGUAAUCGUAUGUUUCAGUGUUGGUGAUGAUCUGUCGAUGGCAAAAGAAGCUCAUUGCUGAGAAGAAGCUCUGAUUAUUCGGUCCAACUAUUAUUAAAUGUUUUUAAUUUUUUUUCUUACUGAUUAGCCCUUUUACACACUGUCAAAGACCUCAGAACAGACAGACUACCAUUUUCCAUUUAAGAGCAAGCAAUCAGAAGAAUUAGCAGAGGUGGACAGUCAGAUAAUAUUUAAUUAUCAGAUGAUUUUUAAUAAUGCAGUAGUGUGAUUAUAUUCUUAUUGUUAUUACUUGUAAUCAGGGUUAAAGUUAAAAGUUUAAUGUUUGAGGACAGGGGUCAGGUGUAUAGGGAUAUGCCAUGGCAGAAGGACACUGAACGAAAACUGAGUAAAAACGAAAGGAGGAAGUCUUUGGAGCAAAACAGCUGACUCUGGGCAGCUCAGCCCCAUCAUCCAGGCAGGAUGAAGCAUCAUGGAGAAAAUCGAGUUCAGAGCCGAAAUCGAGGGACCCCCAUGAAAGUCUCUGUAGGUGCUAGAGUCGAAGCAGAACGUUAGCCUGCUUUGGUGCUACCGUCAGGACCCUUGAGGAGAACGCCUCCGGACACAAGAGCAGAGGAGACUGGAACAGAGGUUCCAGUCUUCUGUACAAGAGACCAGGCUGACCUGGUCUCUUGUACUGGAGAUUGCAGAGUAACAAGUAACACUUGUGCUGCAUAAAUUUUAAUUAAUUAUGUAAAUAUUGAAUCAUGCUUAAUACAAUUACAUGUAAAUUGUUCAUUCAAAUAACACAGUAAUAACAAAAGAAACAAAAAUUGUGAAUCAUAAAAUAGCUAAACCCUGAAAGCCCAGUCUAAUGUAACAAAUGUCUUUUGUUUUAUAAUAAAUCAUCCAUUACAUGAUACA
Betta splendens (Siamese fighting fish) is the source of this 1770-nucleotide long non-coding RNA. NCBI's taxonomy places the organism in Eukaryota, Metazoa, Chordata, Actinopteri, Anabantiformes, Osphronemidae. The record is from Ensembl.